CAGCCGUAAACAAUGUGCGUUAGGUGUGUCGGUAACCACGCGUUACUGAUGCGCCGAAGAGAAAUCGUGAAACGCACCACCUGGGAAGUACGGUCGCAAGGCUGAAACUUAAAGGAAUUGGCGGGGGAGCACCACAACAGGUGGAGCCUGCGGUUUAAUUGGAUUCAACGCCGGACAUCUCACCGGAUAAGACAGCUGAAUGAUUGCCGGGCUGAAGACUCUGCAUGACUAGCUGAGAGGAGGUGCAUGGCGUAGACGU
RNAcentral lists this ribosomal RNA (259 nucleotides) under uncultured archaeon. RNAcentral's name for it is "partial 16S ribosomal RNA". It matches the Rfam family "Archaeal small subunit ribosomal RNA", at positions 748 to 1007 of the family's 1478-position model. The record is from RNAcentral.